UGACCGCUUAUUAAAAGCUGAGGCUACACGGACGGCCGGGUCAAAUGCCGA
RNAcentral lists this small RNA (51 nucleotides) under unclassified sequences. RNAcentral describes it as "Streptococcus sRNA SpF59 (ldcC RNA)". It matches the Rfam family "Streptococcus sRNA SpF59 (ldcC RNA)". The record is from Rfam by way of RNAcentral. RNAcentral also lists the same sequence under 1 other name.